RNAcentral lists this long non-coding RNA (11063 nucleotides) under Nicotiana tabacum (common tobacco). RNAcentral's name for it is "long non-coding RNA (NTAB_LNC013724)". Lineage: Eukaryota; Viridiplantae; Streptophyta; Magnoliopsida; Solanales; Solanaceae. The record is from RNAcentral.
AACAUAUCAACAGCAUUCCAUAGUUUUACUUAUAAUUCCUCCAAAGAUUUCGAAAUACACGCUUCUCUUGAGGUCGAAUGCCAUAAAAUUAUAUUCUAUCUACAAUCAUAGCCCUACAUUCUUCUCUUUCUAAUAACAACUAUAUAUAUGUUUCUUGGAAAAAAUGAUCAGUUGGGACCCCAACAGCUCAAGUACAUAACUUUCCUCAAAGAUUCUUCAGAUUGUUUUGCCUUGUCGCUCCUUGCAAUCAGUGAGGAAGAAGAAGUAGAAAGCUUCUUAGCUUGAGAGUAAGAUCUCAUGUUAUUCUUUGCGUGCUGAGCAAAGGACCUCAAAGGGUAAUUCCAUCUACAGAAACCUUGAUCUUUUAAAGCUUCCACUGCUUCAACACUGGCUGCUACUAUCCACGCUUUCCUGUUUGAACUCAUGAUUUCUAAAUAUAUCGUACCUUUCUUAAUUUUCUGUUUUGUUUUUGAUAGAUGAAUAUUGCUUUUGUUUCUCUGGUAUUCUGAUACAAGUUGAUUUGAUGAUUUUGAAGAUGAUGCUAAGAGUUUGAAGCUAAGGCUGAAUUUAUAGGCACUGAAAAGAAGUGGUGGUAUUGAUAGAAAAGGACUUUUUGGAGUUUCUAAAAGCGAUAAACCAGUGGCUGUUUGACGAACUGUGUGCUCUUUACAGCUGCAGCAAGUGGUUUUCUAGUUAUUUUAUGGGAAAUCAUUUACGUACUGAUUUUUUCUUUGUUUAUCAGAGGAAGUAGUUAGACGGUUGGACUCUAACGUACAGGGGUGGUUAUGCUGAGAAAACGGUAAUUAGUAAUGCAGUGAUUGUAAAAAUUUAGUAAUGUAAGGAUGACACAAUAUAGAAAUUAUUUUUGUUAAAUAAUUAGUGAUAUAUUUUAUAUUAGCAUACUAUCUAUAAGUUUACAGAAGUUUAGGAGCUUGGAACCUCUAUGGUUUACAAAUUCAUUUUACUUGUACGGAGACCCUACAACAUUCAAAUAAAUUAUACACCAGCCUUCCAAUUUGACAUAUUUUAGCUCAAAGUGAGUACUCAUAUUUGAUGCUUAUGUUAACUUACAUUAAUUAUUAUAUAUGAUUAAAUAAUAAACUGAGUUAGGAGUGUGUAUUAUGUGUAAUAAAUAAGUAAUAGUAAACGGUAUUCCAAGGAGGAAAUUGGACACGUUUUGUUGUUUACCAGAAAAACGGUACAAUUCAAUUAUAUCGUAGUUUAUAGACACGUGGGUUAGAUUAAUCCGAUAAAAUAAAGUAAUAAAGAGCAAAGCAAAUAAAAUAAGAAUAAUUGAAGAAAAGACAAGCAUGAACUUCAGAUUGUACACACCGGGUUCAAGAAUAAUUGAAAAACCUCGAUAACACUAGUAUAAAGCUUGAGAAAAGAAUGUUAGUCUUUUGCUAUCAAUAUUUCUUGAUGUCUCACAAUUGAAUGAAAGCCUCUAUUUAUGCUAGAACUAUAAGGUAUAUGGUUACAACUUAUGCCCCCUUAAUUACUACAAUUAAUGUUAUAAUAAGAGGUAAUUAAAGGUAAUAAAGCAUAAUAAAAGCUAAUAAAGGCCGGUGAAAUCUCGGGGUCUUUUGUAAUAUUUCUAUAACGGUCAUAUCUUGAAUUGCUUCUUAUUCGGCCACAGGUUUGCAUCUGGUUUCACCAUGGUUGACUAGUCAUUAUUGACAUGUGUCGCUUCAUCAUUCAUCCAACUCAUGAGACCGAUUUUUAUCGUAUACAGAUAGUCCCCACCACUUUUCGGUUACUCAUUGUGCCCUCGUCAUUGCCUCAUUAAAAGUCUUAUCGGAAAAAUCCAAUCGGGAUAAAAGCCGGAGGAAGGAAUAAAGAGUGCAGAACUUAGGGAUUCAGAUGAUAAUUUUUCCACUUAUUAUUCUUUCUUCAAUGACCGGUUGGAGCUGAAGAAGUAUCGUUAUCACAGAAAACUUGAUCUCGGAUUUUUAGUGUCCACCCACAAGUUUUCUUUGAGUUUUAUCUCUUCGAUUUUUAGUUGUACCUCUUUGAUUGUUGACUCUUGGGUUUUUAUUUGUACCCAAAAAAUUUUCUUUGAGUUUUUGACUCUGAGAUUUUUAGUAGUACCCGAAAACUUUUGUAAUCUCUCAGCCAUCGAGACCGGUGAUGUUAAUGACUAGGAAUUUUAUACUUUUGAUUUUGAUAAAGUCCGGGAAUUGAAUGCAUCGGGUUAACUUUACGAUGGGAAAACAAGGCAUCCGACCUUUUGCCAUUUAAUUUGAUACCGUUAUAAGAGAGGGUCCUUAUAUUUACGGUGCUUAUGAAGAGGACGUCUCAUGUUCAUCAGGGAACAAUUGUUCGGAUUUGUAAUCAUUUUUUACUUCUAAGUGUGAGAAAAUAUUAAGAAUGAUUUUGUUCAUUCAAAGAUAUACAAGAAUAUUUUUAGAAAGUGUAAGUUUUGCUUCAUUCCAUUCCUUGAACGUACACAGAUGUUUAUAACUUUGCAUAUAGGAUAGUUUACAGGAUAUAAAAAAAAUACCUUUCAAGAGAAUGGUGACGAGGCUAACAUUUAUUGGGUCUAGUAGUUCUUGAUUCUAAUUCCUUCUAUUUCUUUCCAGACUAAUCUAGCAGUGCUCAGUCCUUUAUCUGGCAGUCCCCAGUCCUUUUCUUUAUUCCGGAGCCAGUUCGGGCUAUCUCCGGCAUCUUGUACAGAUUGUUCUGGAGCCAUCUUCAGAUGCUUCCGGUACUUAUUGUUGCGGUUUGUGCUGCUCUAAUGCAACAGUCCCAAGCAUUCAUAGAAAUUAUUGUCUUUCAUCGAAGUUAUUUUCCGGCGACUCGCCUAGGGUACGCCCCUGCCUCAUGUCAGUCAUUAAAAUCCUGAUGGGUCUGGUUCAAACCGGUAUCUGGAAUGCCUCCAAUCAAAGUUCAAUUGACUUUGAUUCCGGGCUGUAGAAGAUGUUGAUUUACUUAUUUGAUUGUCUUCUUCACGAAUCUUUGACUCGUAUCAGUUAUGAACAUCUUCCCAUGUGCUUGAAAUUCCAACAAACUCCCAUUCAGCUUCCUUAAGGCAUCGGAACUUUUGGGAUUAAGACCAUUGGUAAAUGUUUCCGCUGCCUAUUCAUCCGGUACAGCCGUUAACAACAUUCUCUCUUUUUAGAAUUGGAUCACAAACUCUCGUAGAAUCCCCAAGUAUCAUUGAGCGAUUCUAGAGCAUUUUAGGAUCUAGGCAUGAAGUCUGCAAGCAUGUCAUGUUAUUUAAGUCCGCAUUAUUAGAAUUGAAAAGAAAAAAGAUAACAAAAAUAGCAAAAUUAGAAUAAAGAAAAGAGACAUCUAGAGACGAUGAAAUAUUGAUUCCAUUUCAUUGAAUUGAAUAUAUGAGGGUUUACGUCAAAAUCAAAAGACAAUAAAGUAAAAACAUUCGAGUUACACCUUAAAAUAACUCGUAAUGUAGAACAGAUGGCAAGACUGAACUACCGGGACUCCUGUCUGACAGGGAAUGGGGUAGCUUUCCAACUCUGAAACUUGAAAUCCGGCCCCAUAUAAUGCACUUCGGCGUUGCUCGUGCCUUUGCCUGGCUGGACCAUGUGGGACUCAUAUAGCAUUUGUUUCAAGGCUUCACAAGUAUCAUCGAUUUCUUCAGCCAUGAAGACCUCUUCUUCUUCUUCCACAUAUUUUGGUUUGACAAAUAAUUGGGCGAGAUGUGGAAUGGGCUGGGACAGGACCCACCCUUUUCCUUUGCGCUUAUCAUCCCAUUUUCUAUCGGCCUCUGUAGCUCAGAAAGCCAUACCGAAAAACUUCUCGCUGGCGAUUAAAGUAAUAGGCUCUGUGAUGCCCUGCAUAGAUAUCCCAAGCCCCUUUCUGGGCUUGUACCCAUGUCUAAUCAUUUGAGUGGCGACCAUGACCGAAGCAUUAGACAAGCAAGGUUGAGUUAGUGGGGCCCCUUUUUCACAUUGAUUGGCGACCAUAAUUUCGAAGGCUUGGUAUAUAAUAUGCCCGCUGCCUUCCCUACCUUCAAGACACGGGACUGAAAGGUCCCAGUAGAUGGAUUUCUCAUCCUCUCCAUAGACAACAAUUUCUUGAUUUUCAUAUUCAAACUUAACCAUUUGGUGAAGAGUGGAGGGAACAGCUCCAGCAGCAUGAAUCCAUGGUCUACCCAGGAAGAAAUUGUAUGAGGUUUUCAUGUCCAAAACCUGGAAAGUCACCUCAAAAUCCACAGGGCCAAUAGUCAGAAUCAUAUCAAUUUCCUCUAUUAUGUCUCGCUUGACCCCAUUUAAAGCUCUCACACAGACGUUGUUAGCCCGGACUCUUUCUGUUCUAAUCUCUAUUCGCUAGAGUGUUGAGAGAGGGCAAAUAUCAACCCCGAAACCACCAUCUAGCAUCACUCUCUUCACAUAAUAGCCCUCGCAUUUGACAGUCAAAUGGAGGGCUUUGUUGUGGGCGGCUCUCUCUGGGGCAAAUCAUCGCGGCUGAAGGAAAUCCUAUUGACCUCAAAGAAUCUUUCUACCAUUCUCUCCAAUUGUUCAACAGAAGUAUCAAUCGGGACAUAUGCUUCAUUCAGUGUUUUCAGGAGCAUUUUCUGGUGUUCAUCCGAACUCAACAAUAGAGACAAGAGUGAGACCUGGGAAGGAGUCUUCCGGAGUGGUCAACUAUUGCACAUUAUGAAGUUUUCAUAUUUCUAAAGAAAUCUUCUACUUCCCCAUUGCUUACAGGCUUCUUGGAUGGCAACCGUUUAUCCCUAUUCAGUUUGGACUUCUUUAGCCUUUCUGGGUUAUGGUACUUCCCAGACUGAUUCAUUUCAUUCACUUCUCCCAUGACCUCUUUCCCUUUGUAUGUAAUCACAGCUCUGUUGUAGUUCCAGGGGACUGCGGUGGGAUCUUUCAUAGGACUCUGUGGUGCGCGACUGAUAACCACGGGCUUAGUCAGUCUUGGUUAAAUUAUCGGCCCCCGCGCUACAUAGGUCCCUUUUUUCACAUACAAUCUUGGUACAUUCAGCGUAGUCUUCCUUUCCUCGAAUUUCUUGGGAGUGUUGAGGAUGAGCUGUUCUUUUCUCGGAACCUUGGGAACAUAGAGAACCACGUUCUUAGAAGGUUCUUCCCCGGUCUUUGUUUCAAUAGCUUGAGGAACCGGGAUGACUUUCUUCUCGGUUUUGGCCUGUUUCACCGCUAUUUUGGGUCUUGCCUCUGAAUCGGCGAUAGCAAUAAUCGCCUUCAAUGCUGGAUCAAACUCUUCAUCAUCACAAAUCAUUCCAAUGACUGGACCAUUAUUGUGAGCUGGUAAUGGAUUGUUAGUCACAUUAGGGAUCUCUUCGUCCCUUAGCAUAAUUUGUUUUUCUUCUAUCAAGCUUUCAACCGCCCUUUUGAGGGUCCAACGGUCUUAUGUAUUAUGGCCUUCUACUCCUGAAUGGUAAGCACAUCUGGUUCUGGCCCUGUAUGAUGGGGACUCGUGAUUCUGGCGGUUGGGAGGCACAUGUUGCAAUAGACCCAGUUGGAUUAACUUUUGAAGCAAACUGGAAUAAAAUUUACCAAUAUAGGUGAAAUCGGUUCUCCUGGGAGGCUCACGAGGGCGUGGAUAAUAUUGAUGUGUGUUGUGUGGUAGACGGGGGUUAUACGAGGCUUGGUAGGGAUGGUUAUUUCUAGGAAGUAGAGCUCGAACUUUGUUGUUAUGGUCGUACGUAAGGUUGGGCAUUUAUCACCGCAUAGUAAGGCGGUGCCACGGCAUAGGCUACAUCUUGGUGUGGAUAAUAGUGUUGUGGGGUUCUUGGCGGAAUGUAAGAGUGAUCACAUGAUCGGCGGGGCCCUCUUGAAUCUGAAGCCAUCAUGGCUCCCUCUUCCCUCUUUUUACGAUCAACCAAACCCCCUGAACCGUUCUGGAUGGCUUGGUAGGUAGUUUCAAGGCAGCUUGACUCAAUAUCAGGCUAGUUUUCAGGCGUUCUCUAUCAUUUCCCCGAUUUUGAUUGCCUCAGAAAAUGGUUUUCCCAUAGCGGACAUCAUAUUCUAAAAAUAAUCAGCCUCUUGGGCCUGCAAGAAGACUGUAACCAUUUUCGUCUCGUCAAUAGGCGGUUUUACUCGGGCGGCCUGCUUGCGCCAUUUGAUAGCAUACUCGCGAAACCUUUCCGCGGUUUUCUUCUUCAAGUUAGACAUGGAGUUUCUGUCUUGAGCUAUGUUGACGUUGUACUAGAAUUGUCUGACAAAAUCUCGGGCUAAAUCAUCCCAUAUGUGCCAGUGGGAGAUUUCCUGAUCCAUAUACCAUUUCGAGAUGAUUUCUGUCAGGCUUUCUCCGAAAUAGGCCAUCAACAACUCUUCUUUCCCACUAGCCCCACGUAGCUGAUUGCAGUAUAUUUUUAGAUGAGCAAUUGGAUCUCUGUGCCCAUCAUACUUCUCGAACUUUGGCAUUUUGAAGCCGGCAGGUAGAUGAACAUUUGGGAACAUGCACAAAUAUGAAUAGGAAAUACUUUUUUGGCCACUCAGGCCUUGCAUGUUCUUCAAGCUUUGUUCUAAGCAUCACAUCUUCCGAGCCAUUGCUUCCUGCUCGUAGCUCCUAACUGCUCUUUCUUGUUCAAUUGGGGACUCAUAUUGUGCGUGUUGAGCGUAUGAGUCUGGAGUAACAUGAAUUAUGUCCGGCUGAAAUUGCGGGCCUUGGAAGGUGAAUGUUGAAGGCUCAAAGUAUGGCCUGGGCAUGCUUGGUUGUGCCAUGAUAAAGACCGGUGGUGCAGAGAAUAAUGUUGACAGUGCUCCAUAGAAUGGAUCUUGGGGGCGGACCACAGAAGGCAUACCUGUAGCUCUUUUCUUUCAUUCAUUUUUCAUAUCUUAAUUUUUCUUUUCUUUCUCUUUUGUUGUUUUUCGCUCUUUGUUUUUCUUGGUUGUUUUUGUCACUCUUUUCUUUCUUUUUCUUUCUUAUUUAUUUUUCUUUCUUCUCUUUUUUUCGCUCAGUUUAUUUAAUGGCAAUGAUCGAAUCCGAUGGGGAUUGCCUACUUAUCAUGACGCCGCACGAAUUAAGUCAUUACGUAGUUCAGGUAAAUAAAUGCAAUAAUGAAAGAAAAGAAAAUUUUUGGGGUUUUUCAAUAUGAAUAAAAAUCUUUCUGGUUUUUUCUAUUACAUAAACUCGAAGACACUGAUAACUGAAAAGGAAAAUAUACAGACUCAAAACAAAAUAACAAACAGACUUGACAUGGAUGACAUGACAAACAGAAUCGAUUAGGGUAAAAUAUAGACUCAAAAUUGAAAAAUCAAGAACAAAGAUGAGGCUUAAAUGUUAUUCCGAGAGCCCGAGUGGCUUCAGCUGGUCUUGGCGCAGGCUUUCUUGUAAGCUCUUCCUGAAGGAGCUCGAGGUCGGCCAUGAUCUGGCGAGCGAAAGAUAGUACCGAGUGGAAGAACAUAGCUCGAGUCAUAUUUUUACAUUCAUGGCAUUUUAUUGCCACGUAGUCGGCUAUUUCCUUGAUUCUAAUCUUGAUAGUGCCUUUCUCCUGGAGUAAUCACAUAAUCUGUUGCUCCCGAACUUCUACUAUUUGCAUGGCCUCGUUGUUUUGGUUUUGCAAUUGCACAGCGCUUUCUUCUAAUUGGUUAAUCAGUGCAUAACAAUGUUCUCUCUCGGCCCUAAAGUCUUUCAUUUGUUGACCCAUCUUGUUUUCAACAACGGCCAACUCUUUCCUUAAGAUCGCGACUUCUCUGUCAUAGCUUUGCUUCACCUGGUGGACUAGCCUUGUUUGUUCUUCUGCAUCUUUUGCCAACUUUGCUCGAGCUUUGCCAAAUCUUUCUCGGCCUUUGUCAGAUCAGCUGCAUAAUCAUGUAAUUUUUGCCUCAAGUUGCUUAUGAUUUUUUCGUCCCUCUCACUUCUUACCGGCGUCUCGGCGCCUAUCUUCAUUUCCCGAAGCUGAGCUCGGAGGGCUUCAUUUUCCUGGGCCAACCUUUUAUUUACCCCCUCAUCUUCAACGGUUUGCAACCCACUUUCGAAUUUGAUGGUUCUGACUUGAUGUUCUAGCUUGCUGAUGGUGGUCCGGUACUCCUUCUCUUUGGCCAACCAAGCCCACUGUUCUUGUGCUGUAUCAAUAAAUUCCUAGACAUGGGGCCUUUUAGUCGGCCUUUCAGAUUCGUCAUUUGUUGUGAUUCUCUUUCCGUACCAAGAGAUGUACCCAGGUAGAACCUCGCUUUGGACAAAUCUUAUACUCGGGUAUUUUCCCCCAAAUACUGGCACUCGCUCCAAUUUUGACAGACCACGUCUUCGGGGAAUUGAGCAUCAAAGCGAAUUUCAACCACAUAAGUACUGAGGUCCACAUCCUUGAGAACUUUCUGACAUCUUCUAAGUUGUCUCAAAACCCGGUAUGGGGAAUAUGGCUGGAUGUUACGGAGACCCACCAGAAGGAAGUAAGGACGUGUGGCAGGCAUAUGAAUAAUCUCAUUGACAAGGAGCCAACCUAAUGUCCAUUCUAUCUUAUCUGCGGUCAAACCCUGAAGGCGAGUGAUCCAAUUUCUGACUCCCUCCGGCAUUACGAAUCAUAUCACCCGCGUACCAAAGUCUUCAAUGCAGUUUUUCCAGGUAGAACCAUAAUUCAUAUAUCGGGGAUGGUGACAAAGGUGUUCGAUCAUCCAUAUUUGUAAUAACGUAUUGCACCCCUCGAAAAACCUGACUCCGGCCUUACAGGAUGUGAGGGCUCGGAAUAUAUCUGAUACGAUCAUGGAUGCGAGGGUACUCUUCGCCUAAGUAGUCAAAACAUGGAAAAUUCCGGCUACACGCAAGUCAAUGUGUCCGUCCUCCCUCGGAAACACCAAAAGGCCUAAAAUGCCACCAUGAAGGCGAAGAAUUUAUGCAUCUCCCACUUUGACCUGUUGCCUUUACUACAGAGCCCAUUUUUUGGGUUUUCGAAUCCUCCUAAAUGCCCGUACCACUGGUAUAUGAAGUGAAAAGUGGAAGCUCCACGUGCCAAACUUUUCUGUUUUGACAUGUCUACUUAUUUACACUAAGUCUAGAAACUUGUGGGGAAUGAUGGUCCUUGGAGACACCAGGUACUUGUGUCUCAAUCCUUCCAUACUCCCGGCAUAGCCUGACAUUUCUUCCAGAGUGGGUGUAAGCUCGAAGUCUGAGAAGUAAAAAACAUUGUGGGCUGGGUCCCAAAAUGACACUAGUGCCUCUAUCAGAUCACUUCUGGGUUGAAUCUUUAAUAGUCCGGUGAGCGCCCCAAGUAUUGAUUGACCCUGUCUCGUCCUUGUUUUUCCAAAUCUUCCCACCACAUGUGGACAGUGGAAUCUGAUCCAUAGGGCUCAUUCUGCACAUUUUUAAAUUAGGGUGACUGGGUUAAAAUAUGUGAAUUAUUUUAAGAACUGACCAUGAAGAGAUUAAUUUUGCAAAAUCCAACUUAAAACAAUUCACGGCUACUUUUGCAAAUACGGCCCUUCAGCACUUCGGAAGGGAAGAUUUUAGGGCUGUGCUUGCUAAGUGGCCUAAAAAUUGAAAAAAAAAACAUAGGCGGCUAUUCUUCCAAAUACGGCAUUUCGGCGUCCCGUCGGGACAUUUAUGGCUAUUUGGACAAAAACGACAUCACCUGAUUUUAUUUAUUACAAAAUGACAACAUUUUAUAUUUUUAGUUAUUUUUGCAAAAACGGGGCUGAACCUGAGGUUCACAACAAGAAAGAACUAAUUUACAAUUAAUGAUGCUAUUACUUGAGAAUAUUUUGGUUUGGGCAGGCAGAUGUGAUAAACUUGUAUGUAAUAUCAGUUUUUGGUGUUAUGUUCAUGUCUAUAGGUAAGGAGAUUGCCUCCAUUCUCUGUCCAAAUUAUUUUUUGCAGUUGUACAAUAGAUUGGCCUUAGUCAACCUACACUAUGUAAUCGAGGCUGAGGUUUAUGUCCUCCUCCGUAUAAUUAUUAUUUUUGGAAUACACACGUUGGAGUCAUGCCUAACUCCUCCAUCUUAAUGAUGAACUUUUGAAGGGAAAAAAAAUAUUUUGGAAGUACUAAGUACACAACUAAAAACAAAAAAAGAAAAAGAAACCACAUAUAUGUUGGAGUGACGUGCUUUCCAACGUCACACGGUUGAACAUAAUGUAAUUGUACUCUCUUUCUAUCAUUUUAUUUAUCGGUUAGAAUUUUAGUACGUUUAUUUAAAAAAUUACUCUAACUUGUUCACUUUAAUUUUUUUGAUUGUAUUCAUAUAUAUAUUAAGAAAUUCACUUUAAGUAAUUUUUUAAUAUUUUUUUCUGGUCCACAAUAUUUGAUUAUUUUUUCCAAAGUUACCCUUGGAAUAAAGAACUAGGAGUAUUUAUUGUAAUUCCAAUGAACAAAUUAAGGUUAAUAUGGUCAAUUACAUUGUUUAUUAAUGUUAAAAGGUGAAUUCCUUAAUUUGUGUGAAAACAGCAAUAAAAAGAGUCACUUAAAGUGGACUGAAGAGAGUAUUAAUUAAUAAUAAAAUUGACUAUAUUAACCUUAAUUUGUUCAUUAAAAAUAUAACAAAUACCCCUAGGUUAUUUACUCCAAUAGUAACUUUGAAAAAGAGAAGUUCAUUCCUUCUUGAUAUUUAAAAAAAAUCAAAUAGUAUGGAUCACAAAAAGAGACCAAAAAAUCAAAUAAAGUCAAUCCGGGGGAAUAUUUAAUAACAUUGUUAUAUUAAUUAUAGAAGUUAUUUGACUAAAUUAUUAUUUAAAUUUUCCUCGUAUUUUUUUAAAAAAUGUAUAUAGAUCUAUUGAAACAAGCAUGGAUUUUGAUAAAAAUUGAAGUCUUCUUCAUUUUCUAAUGCGACGCUUUGAAUUAAAUUGAUUUGUUGCCCAUUUCGAAAUACACGCUACUCUUGAGGUCGAAUGCCAAAAAAUUCUAUUUACAAUCAUAGCCCUACAUUCUUUUCUCUUUCUAAUAACAACUAUAUAUGUUUCUUGGAAAAAAUGAUCAGUUGGAACCCCAACAGCUCAAGUACAUAACUUUCCUCAAAGAUUCUUCAGAUUGUUUUGCCUUGUCGCUCCUUGCAAUCAGUGAGGAAGAAGAAGUAGAAAGCUUCUAAGCUUGAGAGUAAGAUCUCAUGUUAUUCUUUGUGUGCUGAACAACGGACCUCAAAGGGUAAUUCCACCUACAGAAACCUUGAUCUUUUAAAGCUUCCACUGCUCCAACACUGGCUGCUACU